CCGAUUUGUAGUCCUUCCCUUUUGCCCAGAUUAGGCGUCGCUUCAGUAAACCCUCCCUGUUUUACCCUCCCAUCAGCUUCCCCUUUGUUUCUCUUCUGUUCCUUCUAGCCUCUGCCGAUUUGCUCCCUCCGUUUCUUUCUUUUCUGCCCUCUGUUUAUUUUCUUUUCUUUUCUGCCGAUUUGCUCCCUCCGUUUCUUUUCUUUUCUUUUCUGCCCUCUGUUUAUUUUCUUUUCUUUUCUACCGAUUUGCUCCCUUUGUUUCUUUUCUUUUCUUUUCUGUCGAUUUGCCAGUUUCUGCUGAUUUCUGAGUUACUGCAACUGAAAGAGUUUAUCAGGACACACAAGUGGGAUAGAUUCAGUGACCUUUGAUUCCCCGGAAGUUUUGGUAGCUGCAGGUGCUGCAAGUGGUACCAUUAAGCUAUGGGAUUUGGAUGAGGCAAAAAUUGUUCGGACUCUGACUGGUCAUAGAUCCAAUUGCAUUUCUAUGGACUUCCACCCCUUUGGCGAGUUUUUUGCAUCUGGCUCUCUUGAUACAAAUCUAAAGAUAUGGGAUAUCAGAAAGAAAGGGUGCAUCCACACUUACAAGGGUUAUACUCAAGGAGUCAAUGCAAUCAGGUUCACACCAGAUGGUCGAUGGGUUGUAUCCGGUGGUGAGGACAACAUUGUGAAGGUGUGGGAUUUGACUGCUGGAAAAUUGUUGCAUCAAUUCAAGGAUCAUGAAGGUCAAAUUCAGUGCUUAGAUUUCCAUCCACAUGAGUUUUUGCUGGCUACAGAUUGGUUAUUACCUUCUAUUAGAAUAGCUACUGCAUAUUCCUCAUUGACUUGAGAUGUUAUUCUAUGUUGUCUAAAACUAAAGAGAGUUUAUGCCUUAACUUGUAUGGAACCAUCAUGGUAGUAAUUCCAAAUAUAUCUUUGGGCAGAUUGUUCUGUCUGGUUUUGCGGGUAUACUCUUUGUGAUUGUUCUGUAUGAAACCUCGUGCUUUCUUUGAGUUUAUGCCUUAACUGUCCUUUUGAAUGGUAUACUCUUUGUGAUUCGUUUAGUUCUCCUCACUCCUUUGAUCUAUUAUAUGAAGAGCGGGUUAUGGAUCAGAAAGCGAAGCUGAUGAGGAAGCUGCAACAGUUAAUCUGACUAGUGAUCUUAGUCGAGUUAAUCGUGCCUCUACAAAAAGCGCGGUUAAGCUUCAAGAAAUUGGACCUAGAAUGACUCUCCAACUCACCAAAAUUGAGGGUGGACUAUGUUUUGGUGAAGCUAUGUUCAAUGAAUAUGCAAUGGUGGCUAUAAGAAAGAGCCAGGCAAUGAGGGUAAUGAAAAGGAAGACGGUGAGAAUGAUGGCCAAAUGGAGGAUAGCGAUGAAGAUGAUGAAGCGGAUAACGAGGAAGAUAUGGAAGAAAGUGAGAAGAUUAGUGCUUUAGCAAAGUGGAAGGUGCAAUACAACUUCCAUUUUCUGAUUAAAUGACAUGGCAUUUGACAUUAGCCAUGUUCUUUACAUGGGGAAGAUGCUUAUCUGGAGUGAGGAUCUGAUAAGCUUUUGUGCCAGUUAGCCUCUUGUUUUUGCUUUUUUACUUCCAAGCUUUGUUUGUUUCCUCCUGAAUUUUGGCUUAAUUUGUUGUAGAAAAUCCAUAGAUUUUGAUAUAAGAAAGAAAAUGCCAUAUUUUCAACUUUUUUUCUCAAAA
Molecule: RNA transcript, 1673 nt
Organism: Gossypium raimondii (Peruvian cotton)
Lineage: Eukaryota; Viridiplantae; Streptophyta; Magnoliopsida; Malvales; Malvaceae
Exons: 5
Source: RefSeq, a predicted model, not a curated record